This 721-nucleotide ribosomal RNA is filed under the name uncultured Arcobacter sp. RNAcentral's name for it is "bacterial SSU rRNA". It matches the Rfam family "Bacterial small subunit ribosomal RNA", at positions 135 to 875 of the family's 1533-position model. Lineage: Bacteria; Pseudomonadati; Campylobacterota; Epsilonproteobacteria; Campylobacterales; Arcobacteraceae. The record is from RNAcentral.
AGAGAGGGAUAAUUGAUGGAAACGUCUUGUAAUGCCCUAUAUGCCUUUAAUACAUAAGUAUGCAAGGGAAACGCUUUUGUGCUCUAAGAUGAGACUGUACAGUAUCAGCUAGUUGGUGAGGUAAUGGCUCACCAAGACUAUGACGCCUAACUGGUUUGAGAGGAUGAUCAGUCACACUGGAACUGAGACACGGUCCAGACUCCUACGGGAGGCAGCAGUGGGGAAUAUUGCACAAUGGACGAAAGUCUGAUGCAGCAACGCCGCGUGGAGGAUGACACAUUUCGGUGCGUAAACUCCUUAUAUAUAGGAAGAUAAUGACGGUACUAUAUGAAUAAGCACCGGCUAACUCCAUGCCAGCAGCCGCGGUAAUACGGAGGGUGCAGGCGUUACUCGGAAUCACUGGGCGUAAAGAGCGUGUAGGCGGAUAGUUAAGUUUGAAGUGAAAUCCAAUGGCUCAACCAUUGAACUGCUUUGAAAACUGGUUAUCUAGAAUAUGGGAGAGGUAGAUGGAAUUUCUGGUGUAGGGGUAAAAUCCGUAGAGAUCAGAAGGAAUACCGAUUGCGAAGGCGAUCUACUGGAACAUUAUUGACGCUGAGACGCGAAAGCGUGGGGAGCAAACAGGAUUAGAUACCCUGGUAGUCCACGCCCUAAACGAUGUACACUAGUUGUUGCGAGGCUAGACCUUGCAGUAAUGCAGUUAACACAUUAAGUGUACCGCCUG